Molecule: unclassified non-coding RNA, 344 nt
Filed under: Hevea brasiliensis (rubber tree)
Lineage: Eukaryota; Viridiplantae; Streptophyta; Magnoliopsida; Malpighiales; Euphorbiaceae
Source: RNAcentral
UUUUUCUUGUGUUUUUUUUUUUAAUUAUUAACUAUCAUGUGUUCACGUAAAACAAUCAUUUCAAAGAUUUGACUGCUAUGUGUAUGAGAAUAUGCAGGCAAACCUGCAGAUGACAAUCUCACUGUAAUUAAACUUUCUACUCCUAUGAUUUUGAGUUUAUGCAUUAAAAUGUCAAAUGCUCACUGCAUAAUUUCUAGUUUCGUUAUGGAGCACUAGUUUCUGGUGCUUAGGCUGUAUAAUUUUGCACCCUAAAUAUCAAGGUUUGCUUUCAUGUAAGUUGGAUAAUAUAUGAUGUUCAUAUUGACUUUGAAAUGUACAUGCAGGAGGAUAUUGUUUCAAAGCUG